UACGGAGGAUGCGAGCGUUAUCCGGAUUUAUUGGGUUUAAAGGGUGCGUAGGCGGACUGUCAAGUCAGCGGUAAAAUUGAGAGGCUCAACCUCUUCCCGCCGUUGAAACUGGUGGUCUUGAGUGGAUGAGAAGUACGCGGAAUGCGUGGUGUAGCGGUGAAAUGCAUAGAUAUCACGCAGAACUCCGAUUGCGAAGGCAGCCUGCUGGACUGUAACUGACGCUGAGGCUCGAAAGUGUGGGUAUCAAACAGG
RNAcentral lists this ribosomal RNA (252 nucleotides) under uncultured bacterium. RNAcentral's name for it is "partial 16S ribosomal RNA". It matches the Rfam family "Bacterial small subunit ribosomal RNA", at positions 524 to 776 of the family's 1533-position model. The record is from RNAcentral.